GACGAACGCUGGCGGCGUGCUUAACACAUGCAAGUCGAACGGAAAGGCCCUGCUUUUGUGGGGUGCGCGAGUGGCGAACGGGUGAGUAACACGUGAGUAACCUGCCCUUGACUUUGGGAUAACUUCAGGAAACUGGGGGUAAUACCGGAUAGGAGCUCCUGCUGCAUGGUGGGGGUUGGAAAGUUUCGGCGGUUGGGGAUGGACUCGCGGCUUAUCAGCUUGUUGGUGGGGUAGUGGCUUACCAAGGCUUUGACGGGUAGCCGGCCUGAGAGGGUGACCGGCCACAUUGGGACUGAGAUACGGCCCAGACUCCUACGGGAGGCAGCAGUGGGGAAUAUUGCACAAUGGGCGGAAGCCUGAUGCAGCAACGCCGCGUGCGGGAUGACGGCCUUCGGGUUGUAAACCGCUUUCGCCUGUGACGAAGCGUGAGUGACGGUAAUGGGUAAAGAAGCACCGGCUAACUACGUG
Molecule: ribosomal RNA, 468 nt
Filed under: uncultured bacterium
Lineage: Bacteria
Description: partial 16S ribosomal RNA
Rfam family: Bacterial small subunit ribosomal RNA
Source: RNAcentral